CCUACGGGGGGCAGCAGUGGGGAAUAUUGGACAAUGGGGGGAACCCUGAUCCAGCCAUGCCGCGUGUGUGAAGAAGGCCUUCGGGUUGUAAAGCACUUUCAGCGGGGAGGAAGGCGGUGAGGUUAAUAACCUCAUCGAUUGACGUUACCCGCAGAAGAAGCACCGGCUAACUCCGUGCCAGCAGCCGCGGUAAUACGGAGGGUGCAAGCGUUAAUCGGAAUUACUGGGCGUAAAGCGCACGCAGGCGGUCUGUCAAGUCGGAUGUGAAAUCCCCGGGCUCAACCUGGGAACUGCAUUCGAAACUGGCAGGCUAGAGUCUUGUAGAGGGGGGUAGAAUUCCAGGUGUAGCGGUGAAAUGCGUAGAGAUCUGGAGGAAUACCGGUGGCGAAGGCGGCCCCCUGGACAAAGACUGACGCUCAGGUGCGAAAGCGUGGGGAGCAAACAGGAUUAGAUACCCCUGUAGUC
Molecule: ribosomal RNA, 465 nt
Filed under: uncultured Klebsiella sp.
Lineage: Bacteria; Pseudomonadati; Pseudomonadota; Gammaproteobacteria; Enterobacterales; Enterobacteriaceae
Description: bacterial SSU rRNA
Rfam family: Bacterial small subunit ribosomal RNA
Source: RNAcentral